This 19-nucleotide ribosomal RNA is filed under the name Flammulina cephalariae. Its description in RNAcentral is "partial large subunit ribosomal RNA". Lineage: Eukaryota; Fungi; Basidiomycota; Agaricomycetes; Agaricales; Physalacriaceae. The record is from RNAcentral.
UUGACCAUUUGACCUCAAA